This is a long non-coding RNA of Pipistrellus kuhlii (Kuhl's pipistrelle), 571 nucleotides long. RefSeq lists it as uncharacterized. NCBI's taxonomy places the organism in Eukaryota, Metazoa, Chordata, Mammalia, Chiroptera, Vespertilionidae. The record is from RefSeq and is a predicted model, not a curated record. The transcript has 3 exons.
CCGGGCGCGCGCCCCGGCCGCGGGGAGGCCGGGCUUGCAGGACUUCAUCCCCCGCGGGACGGAGCGGGUGCGCGCGGGCUGGUCUGUGCAGCGGCUCCUCCUGGCGAGUCACGGGCAGCCCAUGGUAGGAAAAUCCAGUCCCUCUCUUAAAUCUACCUCCUUCAAGAGAGACCAUCCGCUUGCUCCUGGGAUGCACAUGCAAGGAAAGGUGGAACUCUGACAAAACCCAAAAUCUCCAUCAAGCACACAUUCCCAGAUUUUGGUGGCCAAAGAUCUGUCCUUCAGUGAGAGAGUAACUAAGUCAUCCCAGCCGCUGCCAUCUGACCAGACAGUCUGCCCAGCCUCCUUCUGCCCUGGCCACCAUCCCAUGUGCCAGCCUCCUCAUUGCCCUCUUUUGCUGCUCAGCCCACUCUUUGCACUGUGGUAAGUACUUAACUGGCAUUGGAUUUGCAUAACCCUAUGGCAGUGGUCGGCAAACUCAUUAGUCAACAGAGCCAAAUAUCAGCAGUACAACGAUUGAAAUUUCUUUUGAGAGCCAAAUUUUUUAAACUUAAACUUCUUCUAACGCCAC